Molecule: long non-coding RNA, 1800 nt
Organism: Cotesia glomerata
Lineage: Eukaryota; Metazoa; Arthropoda; Insecta; Hymenoptera; Braconidae
Exons: 6
Source: RefSeq, a predicted model, not a curated record
UAAAGAUAGUCCAUCGGGUACCAUUAUUGAACCACCAUUCAAUUCAGCUGCUAUGGCGCUCAUCUGUUAAUUAAAUAUAGAUAUAAAUUACCGCUAUCCUGUGAUUCAAUUCUAUAUACAAUAAUUUUAUAUACAAGAAUUAAUAAAAAUUUCUCAAUUCAUAAAAUUAUGAAAACUUAAAAAAUCAACAUUUCGAAGCAUAAUAUAAGAUAAAAAUAAAACCGUAUUAAAAAGCUCUCCAUUAUAAACUUUUAUGUUUUAUUAUAAUUAAUAACUUCUCAAAACAACAACAACAACAAUAACAACAACAGCACCAAGAAAAAUAUUACUAUAGUGAUAAUUCUACAGCAACAGUGUCAGUUAUUCCAUCAUAUUUCGGGAUCAUAUUUAAAAACUUAUAAGUAAAGUACGUAAAACUGCAAGUUAUAAGUUAAACUUUGGGAUGUUGAAUACCGUAUGUUUCACGGCCUACAAAAUGGAUCUCCAAAAUUUAACAAGAUAUCGUAAUUGGCAGAUGAUUUUACAAUUGUUGCUUACGAUCGCUGUAAAUAAAAAUAAGUUAACACUAUGAGCUAUUAUGAUUAUUAAUUAUUCAUCGAAGGUUUCGAGUGGUUUUGCCAAACAAAAGGAUGGGUAUUUUCAACAGAAAGACAGAGACCACGUUUUUUUCGUUUCAAUCCUCACGGACAUGAAUGAAAACCGCUAUUACUGUGAAUAUAUGUGUUUUGUUGACCAAAAGGAAGAACCUGUUGAUUAGUCGUGCUCCAUUUUCAACUAUUCCAACAAUUGCACAUUGUAAAAUUAUGUAUGCACCCUAUAUCUGGUAUCAGUUUCAAGGUUGGAUUAUAUUGAAAACUUUCAGAAAUGUUUGGGUAUUAUUUAUACGGUGUGCAUUAAAAAUCAUAGUUGGAAAUAUACCGGUAUGUACUCAAGUACCAUCAGUAGGCGGUCUGCAAGUUCGUUUGAUAGGAAUCCGUAUUGAAUUAGUAUAAUUUUUUGCGGUAAUGAUCAAACAAAAAAUUUUGCUUCAUUUUGCUAGGCUACACUAAACUUAUUGACAGAUGUAUUCAUUAUUUGCUGCUCCUGUUAAAAUUUUCUACACGCCAACACUAUUUGUUAUGUGUACGUGGUUCUUAAGUGCAAGAGACAGCUACAUUUAUGAGCGCCAUAGCAGCUGAAUUGAAUGGUGGUUCAAUAAUGGUACCCGAUGGACUAUCUUUAGCUCUUCUUCCUGAACCACUGUUAUUGUUAUUAAAAAUACAAGACGCUUUAUCACUUGUUCUUUAGCCACAACUAAUUUCCGCGAGAUGAUAAAAGAUGAAUAUAAUAUAAAAGAUAAUUAUAUUUUUAUGAUAAGUAAGUUACCAAUAAUGAGUAGUUAUUAAGGCUAUACUAUAAUGUUUUAGUAUUGCAAUAUAAACUAUUGAUAUUAAAUUUUAAAAACCAAAUUUUUAACAACAUGAUAUUUUGGAGCUCAGAACCACAUGAAAAGAUUAGCAUUUCUAAAUUUUUUGGUUCUUUGAAAAUUUAAGACUUACUUUAGUAAAUAUUUUUAAAAAUGAAAAAUUUUUUGAUUCUGUCACUAAAUUUUGAUUAACUUAAAGGAACUCGACGCUGUUUCUAAGGACAAGAAAUGGUACAGAGAGACAAUAAAUAAUAGGUCAGAAAAUCUCAAAGUAAUGUUUAAAAAACUUGAAAUUUAAAAAUUUUAUUAAGGUAUAUGAAAAAUAUUUUCUAAAUUUUAAACAGAAAAAAUAUGAAUUAACUUAUGGGGAACUUUUCAAUACGGUUUUAAUCUUA